GGAAGUGGCACAGCUGAACAUUGAUCGCUCACUAUUCUAUUAUUAAGCAGAUCUGCUCAGUGUCUCCCCCACGUGGUUUCUAGUAGUCAAGCCGCAGUCCCGACGACAAAUUGGACUCUCGGUCGAUUGUAGCCUUCGGCUCCUCGAAAUCCACGUCUUUCCAAAUUGAAGCAUCUGACGUUGCUUAGGUUCAAAGCACUUCCAUAUUUCGGCACUACAGAUCAGUAGUUCGCCAUUUCUUUUG
This 244-nucleotide small nuclear RNA is filed under the name Cimex lectularius (bed bug). RNAcentral describes it as "Arthropod 7SK RNA". It matches the Rfam family "Arthropod 7SK RNA". The record is from Rfam by way of RNAcentral. Lineage: Eukaryota; Metazoa; Arthropoda; Insecta; Hemiptera; Cimicidae.